Oncorhynchus kisutch (coho salmon) is the source of this 584-nucleotide long non-coding RNA. RefSeq lists it as uncharacterized. The record is from RefSeq and is a predicted model, not a curated record. Lineage: Eukaryota; Metazoa; Chordata; Actinopteri; Salmoniformes; Salmonidae. The transcript is spliced from 4 exons.
UUUUCACUGGAUUUAAUAGAAAUGUGAAAUUGACCUGGCAAGCCUGUCUCUGCCUGAGCAUGAUCACAACAAAAGUAGCUGUGCAGCACGUUUUUUUAGGAAGAGGAGGAUGGUUGCAGACGUUCGCAUUCAUGCAAGAAGGCACUGCAGAGGCUAAGAAGACGCAUGGAAACUCUAAAAGAAACAUAAUUCAACUUGUAGGCCAGAUUUGAAAAAGAAAUAAUAAAACCAGAAGCUCAGAUGUCAGACACCGAGGCUGCCAGUACCUCUGGAUCGAUUGUCUAUGUGUUGGAUGAUGCACAACCGUUGGUCAGAACAGACAGUGUAUACUUGACCAAAGCUAUGCUUGGAUACAAGAUGACUCAAUGAUGACUCAAUAACUAUUAUUGACAACAGUGAAGAUGUUAUGUCCCAGGGCCAUCAGGAUCAUCAGAGGAAGGCAAUUUCUAUGAAGAAAAUCUGACCGGUAUGCCUAUACUUUACAUACACAUGGACCUAUUCUUAUCUGUCAGUGCAUUUUCACUCUGUAGUCAAAUAAAAUGUUAUUGGUCACAUGCACAUGGUUAGCAGAUGUUUAUACGAGU